CAGAUUAAUAGUUUAAUAAAAUAUUGGCAUUGGAAGCCAAAGAUUAGGCUAUAGAUGCCUAUAAUUUGA
This 69-nucleotide transfer RNA is filed under the name Viviparus viviparus. Its description in RNAcentral is "tRNA-Pro". It matches the Rfam family "tRNA". From Rfam's summary of the family: Transfer RNA (tRNA) molecules are approximately 80 nucleotides in length. The record is from RNAcentral. Lineage: Eukaryota; Metazoa; Mollusca; Gastropoda; Architaenioglossa; Viviparidae.